AUUGGGUUUUGGCUAGUGCACUCAAAUUGAGAACACAGCUUCACAGGCAGAACACAACACACAGAUGCAAGGUCUCCUGAUGGCAGAAAACCUUAUAACCAGAGACGGGGUUACUCCGUGUUAGCCAGGAUGGUCUCGAUCUCCUGACCUCGUGAUCCACCUGCCUUGGCCUCCCAAAGUGCUGGGAUUCUGUAAUCCCAGUGAGCCACCGCGCCUGGCCCAUAAUCAACCUCAGCUGCCAACGCCAGAAUCAACCUCAGCUGCCAAAUGCUAGACUGAAAAAAGAAUGUAAACAGCUUGAUGGAGGGGAGGAUCCUGGUGCACCUGUGGUUUUGACAGCUUUUGCUGCUGCUUGAGGAGGAAACAGGUUGCCUGUUUGUUCUUCAAGAGCACUUCUGGCAUCCAGGUUCCAAAGAUCUUAAAGAUGUCCCAGAAAAGUUCUAGAGUACUAUCAGAUCUCACACUUUGCCUUGGAAGCUGUCAUUCCCCUCCAUUGGCCCCACAACUGCAGUAUAAUCUUCAGUGACAGGAGAAAAUCGACCUUGUUUGUACAGAAGUCUCAGCAGGAAUAGGCAGAUGCCUGUUUUUGCUGCCAAGGAUGGAGGAUUGGAAUGGGCCCAUUAUAUAUUUUGAGGCUUUGAAGAAAAGUCUCAGGAUAUGUUUUCCCAUUAAAAUACUGUUAUAAACAA
Homo sapiens (human) is the source of this 689-nucleotide long non-coding RNA. Ensembl annotates it as long intergenic non-protein coding RNA 2024. NCBI's taxonomy places the organism in Eukaryota, Metazoa, Chordata, Mammalia, Primates, Hominidae. The record is from Ensembl.